CAAAUUAGAGCUUGUUUAAAGUAUUUCAUUUACAUUGAAAAGAAAUUAAAAGAUGUUAAUUAAUUUGA
RNAcentral lists this transfer RNA (68 nucleotides) under Libythea myrrha (club beak). Its description in RNAcentral is "tRNA-Val". The record is from RNAcentral. Lineage: Eukaryota; Metazoa; Arthropoda; Insecta; Lepidoptera; Nymphalidae.